CCAAUCUCAGUGUGGUUUAAAUAUUUAAAACAAAGCUUAUGAAGUCUUAGAAAUUGCUGAAGCAAAGGUGCUUGGAAGCUCUAUCACUUGAAAUGGCAGAUGAAACCUAAGCAAAAUGUGACUAAAAUUAAUUGUGAUGUCACGGCUUUCUUAGAAUCGUUUGGUAGUAGAUAUAGUUGUUGUUGUGAGGGACUGAAACAGUGUCUUGAUUGGAAGUGAAAGUUCUAGAAUUUAUACCUCUUCAACGUGGAUGACAGAAGCUUUGGCCAUUUGACUGGGUGCUUCCAUUGUCGCUUGCUACCAUUGGACUAAAGUGGAGAUAGAAUCUGAC
RNAcentral lists this long non-coding RNA (331 nucleotides) under Gossypium barbadense (sea-island cotton). RNAcentral describes it as "long non-coding RNA (GBAR_LNC004808)". Lineage: Eukaryota; Viridiplantae; Streptophyta; Magnoliopsida; Malvales; Malvaceae. The record is from RNAcentral.